RNAcentral lists this ribosomal RNA (233 nucleotides) under uncultured bacterium. RNAcentral describes it as "partial 16S ribosomal RNA". It matches the Rfam family "Bacterial small subunit ribosomal RNA", at positions 32 to 261 of the family's 1533-position model. The record is from RNAcentral.
AAUCAACGCUGGCGGCGUGCCUAACACAUGCAAGUCGAACGCGAAAGUCCCGCAAGGGAUCAGUAGAGUGGCAAACGGGUGAGUAACACGUGGGUGACCUGCCCUCAGCUCUGGGAUAAGCCUGGGAAACCGGGUCUAAUACCGGAUAUGACUCCAUGACGCAUGUUGUGGGGUGGAAAGCCUUGUGCGGCUGAGGAUGGGCCCGCGGCCUAUCAGCUUGUUGGGGGGUGAGU